This 50-nucleotide ribosomal RNA is filed under the name Alternaria alternata. RNAcentral's name for it is "partial 28S ribosomal RNA". The record is from RNAcentral. Lineage: Eukaryota; Fungi; Ascomycota; Dothideomycetes; Pleosporales; Pleosporaceae. RNAcentral also lists the same sequence under 17 other names.
UUUGACCUCGGAUCAGGUAGGGAUACCCGCUGAACUUAAGCAUAUCAAUA